RNAcentral lists this ribosomal RNA (763 nucleotides) under Streptomyces parvulus. RNAcentral's name for it is "bacterial SSU rRNA". It matches the Rfam family "Bacterial small subunit ribosomal RNA", at positions 600 to 1366 of the family's 1533-position model. Lineage: Bacteria; Bacillati; Actinomycetota; Actinomycetes; Kitasatosporales; Streptomycetaceae. The record is from RNAcentral.
GCCCGGGGCUUAACCCCGGGUCUGCAGUCGAUACGGGCAGGCUAGAGUUCGGUAGGGGAGAUCGGAAUUCCUGGUGUAGCGGUGAAUGCGCAGAUAUCAGGAGGAACACCGGUGGCGAAGGCGGAUCUCUGGGCCGAUACUGACGCUGAGGAGCGAAAGCGUGGGGAGCGAACAGGAUUAGAUACCCUGGUAGUCCACGCCGUAAACGGUGGGCACUAGGUGUGGGCACAUUCCACGUUGUCCGUGCCGCAGCUACGCAUUAGUGCCCCGCCGGGGAGUACGGCCGCAAGGCUAAAACUCAAAGGAAUUGACGGGGGCCCGCACAAGCGGCGGAGCAUGUGGCUUAAUUCGACGCACGCGAAGAACCUUACCAGGCUUGACAUACCCGGAACGUCCAGAGGUGGGCGCCCCCUGUGGUCGGUGUACGGUGUGCAGGCGCUGUCGUCAGCUCGUGUCGUGAGAUGUUGGGUUAAGUCCCGCAACGAGCGCAACCCUUGUCCCGUGUUGCCAGCAGGCCCUUGUGGUGCUGGGGACUCACGGGAGACCGCCGGGGUCAACUCGGAGGAAGGUGGGGACGACGUCAAGUCAUCAUGCGGCUUAUGUCUUGGGCUGCACACGUGCUACAAUGGCCGGUACAAUGAGCUGCGAUACCGCAAGGUGGAGCGAAUCUCAAAAAGCCGGUCUCAGUUCGGAUAGGGGUCUGCAACUCGACCCCAUGAAGUCGGAGUCGCUAGUAAUCGCAGAUCAGCAUUGCUGCGGUGAA